AACGAACGCUGGCGGCAUGCCUAACACAUGCAAGUCGAACGAGACCUUAGGGUGUAGUGGCGCACGCGUGCGUAACGCGUGGGAACCUGCCCUUAUGCUCGGAAUAACUCCCCGACGGGGGUGCUAAUACCGGAUAACGUCUUCGGAUCCAAGAUUUAUCGACUUUGGAUGGGCCCGCGUUGGAUUAGCUAGUUGGUAGGGUAAAAGCCUACCAAGGCGACGCUACAUAGCGGGUCUGAGAGGAUGAUCAGCCACACUGGGACUGAGACACGGCCCAGACUCCUACGCGAGGCAGGAGUGGGGAAUAUAGGAAUAUGGGCGGAAGCAUGAUCCAGCAAGGCCGCGUGAGUGAUGAAGGCCUUAGGGUUGUAAAGCUCUUUUACCCGGGAUGAUAAUGACAGUACCGGGAGAAUAAGCUCCGGCUAACUCCGUG
RNAcentral lists this ribosomal RNA (433 nucleotides) under uncultured bacterium. RNAcentral's name for it is "partial 16S ribosomal RNA". It matches the Rfam family "Bacterial small subunit ribosomal RNA", at positions 29 to 507 of the family's 1533-position model. The record is from RNAcentral.